UCAUCCUCUUCCUCCUGGUGUUUGCCAUCGCUGCAGCCGCCUAUGUAUGGAUUGAAGGUAAACGCCACGGCCUCUGUGGUCCCCUGCGCCCGCCCUCCGAGGCUCCAGGCUGGCAGGCCCUGUCUCCACAGGUACCAAGGACCCCAGCCGGAACCGCUACAAGCUGUUUCUGGAGUGCACCCUGAUCCUCACCUCGGUCGUGCCUCCUGAGCUGCCCAUCGAGCUGUCCCUGGCCGUCAACACCUCCCUCAUUGCCCUGGCCAAGCUCUGUGAGUGUGUCAAAUGGGGUAGGGUGCCAAGUGGGCUGGGGCCAAGCAGGACCCCUGACCUCACUCCCGCCCCUAGACAUGUACUGCACAGAGCCCUUCCGGAUCCCCUUUGCUGGCAAGGUCGAGGUGUGCUGCUUUGACAAGACGGGGACCUUGACCAGUGACAGCCUGGUGGUGCGCGGUGUGGCCGGGCUGAGAGACGGGAAGGAGGUGACCCCAGUGUCCAGCAUCCCUGUAGAAACACACCGGGCCCUGGCCUCGUGCCACUCGCUCAUGCAGCUGGACGACGGCACCCUCGUGGGUGAUCCUCUAGAGAAGGCCAUGCUGACGGCCGUGGACUGGACGCUGACCAAAGUGCCCUGAAGCGAAUGUCCGUGCUUGCCUCGUAUGAGAAGCUGGGCUCCACCGACCUCUGCUACAUCGCGGCCGUGAAGGGGGCCCCCGAAACCCUGCACUCCAUGGUGAGCUGGCCCCAGCCUGGGGCAAGGGGUAGGGGUGCGGGGCAGCCCGUGACAUCCCCCUGCAUUCCCUGCAGUUCUCCCAGUGCCCGCCCGACUACCACCACAUCCACACCGAGAUCUCCCGGGAAGGAGCCCGCGUCCUUGCGCUGGGGUACAAGGAGCUGGGACACCUCACUCACCAGCAGGUACGGG
RNAcentral lists this small RNA (922 nucleotides) under Pongo abelii (Sumatran orangutan). RNAcentral describes it as "processed transcript". The record is from RNAcentral. Lineage: Eukaryota; Metazoa; Chordata; Mammalia; Primates; Hominidae.